ACACGGAGGGUGCAAGCGUUGUCCGGAUUCACUGGGCGUAAAGCGCGCGUAGGCGGCUUUGUAAGUCACCUGUGAAAUCCCGGGGCUCAACUCCGGGGCUGCAGGUGAUACUGCAAAGCUAGAGCUCGGUAGAGGCAAGUGGAAUUCCCGGUGUAGCGGUGGAAUGCGUAGAUAUCGGGAAGAACACCAGUGGCGAAGGCGGCUUGCUGGGCCAAUACUGACGCUGAGGUGCGAAAGCGUGGGGAGCAAACAGGAUUAGAAACCCCAGUAGUCC
RNAcentral lists this ribosomal RNA (274 nucleotides) under uncultured bacterium. Its description in RNAcentral is "partial 16S ribosomal RNA". It matches the Rfam family "Bacterial small subunit ribosomal RNA", at positions 523 to 796 of the family's 1533-position model. The record is from RNAcentral.